AGUGAACGCUGGCGGUAGGCCUAACACAUGCAAGUCGAACGGCAGCACAGUAAGAGCUUGCUCUUACGGGUGGCGAGUGGCGGACGGGUGAGGAAUACAUCGGAAUCUACUUUUUCGUGGGGGAUAACGUAGGGAAACUUACGCUAAUACCGCAUACGACCUACGGGUGAAAGCAGGGGAUCUUCGGACCUUGCGCGAUUGAAUGAGCCGAUGUCGGAUUAGCUAGUUGGCGGGGUAAAGGCCCACCAAGGCGACGCUCCGUAGCUGGUCUGAGAGGAUGAUCAGCAACACUGGAACUGAGACACGGUCCAGACUCCUACGGGAGGCAGCAGUGGGGAAUAUUGGACAAUGGGCGCAAGCCUGAUCCAGCCAUACCGCGUGGGUGAAGAAGGCCUUCGGGUUGUAAAGCCCUUUUGUUGGGAAAGAAAAGCAGCAGGUUAAUACCCCGCUGUUCUGACGGUACCCAAAGAAUAAGCACCGGCUAACUUCGU
Molecule: ribosomal RNA, 491 nt
Filed under: uncultured bacterium
Lineage: Bacteria
Description: partial 16S ribosomal RNA
Rfam family: Bacterial small subunit ribosomal RNA
Source: RNAcentral